UAUUAUAAUAUAACUCUACAAAGUUGAACAUAGGCUGAGUCUCUAUGCCUUGAAUGGAGCACUGGAUUGGAUACCCGGGAAACCGGCGCUUCCAUUUAUAAGAAGUUAAAUUACUGGAAGCGUCUGUAAGGUUACAACACAAGUCACUGAUAAUUCUGAUGAAUAUUUCAAGUUACUGACAUCUGC
RNAcentral lists this small RNA (186 nucleotides) under Plasmodium falciparum 3D7. Its description in RNAcentral is "Pfa-mtR5773b". The record is from RNAcentral. Lineage: Eukaryota; Apicomplexa; Aconoidasida; Haemosporida; Plasmodiidae.